RNAcentral lists this long non-coding RNA (486 nucleotides) under Monodelphis domestica (gray short-tailed opossum). RNAcentral describes it as "lncRNA (ENSMODG00000035187.2)". The record is from RNAcentral. Lineage: Eukaryota; Metazoa; Chordata; Mammalia; Didelphimorphia; Didelphidae.
CUUCAAGCUCCUUGGCAGCCACUCCAGACUGGCUGGCAGCCUACCCCUUCUCAGCAUUGGUUACACUGUCCCCACUGGGUAUGCUGCCUGGGUUAGGGUGCGAGGGGUAUCUUCAGGGACAGCUUUAUGAACUGUUUAUGGUUCAAGGGAAAGAGCCCUUCACUAGGCCAGAAAACCUAGCGGUAACUACCUAUGAUAUCACUGGUGUAUCAAGAAAUGUCCUCUCCUUAUGCAGAGCCACAGACUUGCAGGAUUCCAAAUGUAUACACAAAAAGAAUCCUCCCCAUGAUGUGCCUAACAAAAGAUCAUACACCCUCUACUUGAAGACCUCUACGGAUAUAUGAGGAGCCCCAUUACCUCUCAAGAUGGCUGAUUCCAUUUUUGUUUAACUUAAACUGUUUUUCCCUCUGCUAGUCCCCCCUAUUGUUUCUGCCCUUUGGCACCAAAUAGAAUAAAUCUAUUCUUUCUUCCUUCUGAGAGCCCUUC